This 630-nucleotide long non-coding RNA is filed under the name Arabidopsis lyrata. Its description in RNAcentral is "long non-coding RNA (ALYR_LNC000976)". Lineage: Eukaryota; Viridiplantae; Streptophyta; Magnoliopsida; Brassicales; Brassicaceae. The record is from RNAcentral.
CAAUUUUUUUCUUCUACGAUUCUUCCCCUUCCCCUCUUUUGCCCUUUGUCACCUCUUCUCCUCAUCAAUCUCUAGACCAGUUAUUGAUGAUCCAACACCAUCUAUUCUGAUACCAACCAGUUAACCCACCACCCGACAACGGAGAGGAGAGGCUUAUCGGUAGAAGAAAUGGUGUGGUAGUCAUCAUCAAAUCGAGAAGAAGAAGGGAGAAGGGUCGUUGAAGACGGAGAUUUGACCACCACCACGAAGCAAACAGAACCAGAUCUCGAUCUGUUGCCCAACGAAACCCUCGAUCCCGCCUGAAACCGAACUCCCCUCCUAGCCACCACAAAAGACAGAAAAAGAAAUCCGGCGACAGAAGAAGAGUACUAAAGAGACAGUGGCGGAGCAAAAGGCUUGUGCUGCGAGUUGAGUGUAGCCGGAAACGGAGGCUCGUCGGCGAGCGAACGGAAUCUAUGGCGGCGGCUGAGAUGAAUUAGGAUUUUUUUUUUUGUUGAUUUUAGCGUCCGGUUCAACCGGCAUUUUGUAACCAAUUCAAUUCUGUAGCUCUUAACCAAUUACCGGUUUGGGUUGGUUAUUAAUAUCAAUAUAUAUUAUUUUGUUUAAAAAAUUCUGUCACGAAAUAUAUAU